CGUCUUCAGGAAGUCGAACUUCACCAAAACGUAAACAUGAUGCCCAAGCAUUACAAAUUCACGACGGUGCUCUGUGUUUAAAGGAAGGAUUACAGAGAUGAGAAUGUGAUACUGUACACAGACACGUGAAGAGGAUAAGGACAGUCUAUCCGGAGUGAGCGCUUCUGAUGAGAUCAGCAGAGGCGGUGUGUGAGUGACAGUGCACUUCUGGAUGCUACAGAGGACAGACGAAUACAAGCAACUGAAGCCCUUCACCAAAGGCCCUUUCUCAAAGCUAGCGGUGAACCCUGUCUCCCCGUGCUCCCCCAAACUGGACAGAUGGAGAGAGGAUGGCUCCUGGGCAGGCUCCGUCUGGCCACGGAGGCAGUUCAUCUUGGCGCGGCAGACAGUGGUGUUGUGUAGGCGCUUCCCAAAAACGAGCCUUGGUAGCCGGUGUCAGGCCAGACGGAGUGAGAGAAGUGACGGGGGCGCCCACGCGUGACACACGAGUCUUGUGGAAAAAUGGGAGGAAGUGAAGUGACGGCCGGUACCACCGCCAAAUCCGAAACCUCCAUGCCACAUGUCACACGCGAGAGCAUCUCAGACUGGGGUAAUACGUGUGACCCAGAACAUAUUACUACAGUACAUCACCAUCCUGAUCUAUACAACAUGGCCCAGACCUGUGCCCUGGAGUGACGUGACAAACGGGAUUAUCCCCUGUUGACAAGACUCUGAUCCUGGCCCGGCCAAGCUCCCACUCCUGGCCUUUUCUAAUGGAACCCCUGGCCCUACCAUCGCAUUUCCACCCGCCCCAAACCAACAGUCUAAUCCAUCAUGCUCUGUCAAAGGCAUCCCAGGAUCUCCGCCUCCUCACGGGUCAGCAUUAUCCUAAUCCAGUGGGUCUGUGGCCCGAUCUCCCGGUGUCCUGUUUACCCAGCACAUCUGAGUCAACAGCAACGGUGGGACCUGUAGCUCUCAUCUCACUAGGUCUCGGCUGGGUGUGCCUUUGACAUUUACAGGUUUGCCCCGCCGUCCUGGAGACAGGCAACAUAGCAAUCCAGAUGGCAAAUAUAUACAACAGAGGAAAACUAUGACUGUGCUAAGAUGUGAUAUUGUCACAUGAAAGAGCUGAAAGAAAAGAGUUCUGGUUAACUUCAGAAUCGUUCAGUGUAUGUGUCUAAACCCAAAGACAGUUUUGGCCAGUCUGUAGCUUGUUCUCCUUAUUGUAUUGUAAUACAGGAAAAUUGCAGUAUUAUGCUUUAGUUACUUUAAGAAGCACAUCUCCAAAUUUAACAGCAAGAGCGACAAUGGACCUGCCAAAAACAUCUGAAACCUAAAAGCAUUAUUUUCAAAGAAAGAAUUGUAAAAUGGGGUUCACAAAACCAAUGACGAAUUAAAAUGCCCCCCCCCCCUCUUACACACACCAAAUGCCCAGAAGCAAUUUGUGACACUUGUGCCAUUCAUAGGCCUGCAGAUAAAUAUUGAGAACCAAGAGCACCCUCUUGUGGUCUAGAUGUGUAAGACAGUUUGGUUGUGUUGUAGCAAGAUUGAAAGAAUAGUUGAUAUCA
Molecule: long non-coding RNA, 1547 nt
Organism: Misgurnus anguillicaudatus (oriental weatherfish)
Lineage: Eukaryota; Metazoa; Chordata; Actinopteri; Cypriniformes; Cobitidae
Source: RefSeq, a predicted model, not a curated record